UACGAAGGGGGCUAGCGUUGCUCGGAAUCACUGGGCGUAAAGGGUGCGUAGGCGGGUUUUUAAGUCAGGGGUGAAAUCCUGGAGCUCAACUCCAGAACUGCCUUUGAUACUGAAGAUCUUGAGUCCGGGAGAGGUGAGUGGAAUUGCGAGUGUAGAGGUGAAAUUCGUAGAUAUUCGCAAGAACACCAGUGGCGAAGGCGGCUCACUGGCCCGGUACUGACGCUGAGGCACGAAAGCGUGGGGAGCAAACAGG
This 253-nucleotide ribosomal RNA is filed under the name uncultured bacterium. RNAcentral describes it as "partial 16S ribosomal RNA". It matches the Rfam family "Bacterial small subunit ribosomal RNA", at positions 524 to 776 of the family's 1533-position model. The record is from RNAcentral.